Molecule: RNase P RNA, 339 nt
Filed under: Methanomicrobiales archaeon
Lineage: Archaea; Methanobacteriati; Methanobacteriota; Methanomicrobia; Methanomicrobiales
Description: RNase P RNA component
Rfam family: Archaeal RNase P
About the family: Ribonuclease P (RNase P) is a ubiquitous endoribonuclease, found in archaea, bacteria and eukarya as well as chloroplasts and mitochondria. Its best characterised activity is the generation of mature 5'-ends of tRNAs by cleaving the 5'-leader elements of precursor-tRNAs.
Source: RNAcentral
GAGAGGGAGAGUGCAGCUGACGGUGGCCGAAAGGCUGCUGAGGAAAGUCCCCCCACUUACCAGGUACGCAGCCGCAUGCAAAUGCGGGUGGCGAGAGUCACGGCAAUGACACAGAAACGACACGGCCUGGCGUCAGCGAUGAUGCGACCGAGCCCGUACGGGCGAGACGCAGGUAACUGCAAGUUAACUCGCUGAGCGUUACGAGCGCCAGGAUGCGAUGAAACGGUGAAACCCUGCGGGUGCAAGCCAGAACGGGGCAAUCGAUUGCCUGGUAUCUGCCCGGGUAUGGCGCCCAGCUGAAUGCUGCACCGAACAGAAGGGGGCUUACUCCUCCCACUC